AACAACCCAUGUAAUACGAUAAAGGGAAAGGUACAUAUUUGGCUUACACUCGCCACUUCACACAAUACAUGAAUAAAGCAUUACAUCAACCAAAUACAAUCAAGGUCCGACUAUGGAACCCAAAAUAAAAGAAGACUACCCCAAAUGCUACACAGAUCCCCGAUCGUCCCAACUAGGCUCCACUACUGAUCAACUGAAAACGGAAACAACACAAAGGACAAGAUCUUCAUCGAGCUCCUCCUUGAGCUCGGUUGCGUCACCUGGAAUGGCAUCAUCGGCACCUGCAAGCUGGUUUGGAAGUAUCCGUGAGUCACAGGGACUCAGCAAUCUCGCACCCUCGCGAUCAAGACUAUUUUAGCUUAUGGGUAAGGUAAAGGUAUGAGGUGGAGCUGCAGCAAGCGACUAGCAUAUAUGAUGGCUAACAUACGCAAAUGAGAGCGAGAAGAGAAGGCAAAGCACGAUCGAGAAACUAUGAUCAAGAAGUGAUCCUAGAACAACCUACGUCAAGCAUAACUCCAACACCGUGUUCACUUCCCGGACUCCGCCGGAAAGAGACCAUCACGGUUACACACGCGGUUGAUGCAUUUUAAUUAAGGUCAACUUCAGGUUUUCUACAACCGGACAUUAACAAAUUCCCAUCUUCCCAUAACCGCGGGCACGGCUUUCGAAAGUUCAAAUCCCUGUAGGGGUGUCCCAACUUAGCCCAUCACAAGCUCUCACGGUCAACGAAGGAUAUUCCUUCUCCCAAGACAUUUCGAUCAGACUCGGCAUCCAAGUUACAAGACAUUUCGACAAUGGUAAAACAAGUCCAGCAACACCGCCCGAAUGUGCCGACAAAUCCUGAUAGGAGCUGCACAUAUCUCGUUCUCAGGGCACACUCAGAUGAGACUAGCUACGAGUAAAACCAACCCUCAAGUUUCCCCGAGGUGGCCCUGUCGGAUUUCGGGUUCCGGCAGACCCUUGAGGUUCGAACACUGGGGUGCACGCGGAGAUUUUGCCUUCUACCUACCUGCACCCCUCUGCCUUGCUAAGAUCUAAGCUAAGGAAAGAACAACACAAGAGACAUAGGGUUUAUACUGGUUCGGGCCACCGUUGUGGUGUAAUACCCUACUCCAGUGUGUGGUGUGGUGGAUUGCCUCUUGGGCUGAUGAUGAUGAACAAUACAAGGAAGAACAGCCUCGCGAGGGUCUGUUCUUUGCUGGGGGGGGACAAACUGCUAGGAGGAGUUCAGUCACCCUUCUCUCUCUCUCUGAUUUCGAUCCGAUCCUUGAUCCUCGAUCUCUGUCUCUAACCUUCCUUUCACUCUCGAACCCGAACCCCCUCUCCCUGUGGGUGGCUGGUCCUAUUUAUAGGCAACGGCCCUGGGCCUCUUCCCAAAUACUGAGCGGGAAGGGCGCCAACAACUGGCCAUUUUGAAGGGGAACAUCUGGUACACUUAUCCUUACUAAAGUUGGUCCUCGCCUGCACAAAGCUCUGGUGGUGACGCCGUCUUGGGCUCCACGAUGACCUCCGUCUUGCAGUCCUCCUGCUCUUGGUCUUGUUGCACCGAAAUGGCAACCUUUGCCUGAUGCCUCGGUACUCCGCGGCUGCGCUUGCCCCCUUUGCACCAAAGGGGAAAGGAGGACACUGCGCGGGCUGGCGCCCGCCUGGCGCCCUUGGUCGUCAUGGCUUGCGUCACGGGCACCUUGUGAGGUACCCCGCCUUGAUCCCUCCGCCUCCUCGCGAGCCAGCCUGGUGAGGCCAUGCCUGAGGAAGCUCCGUGUCGUCCGCCCCGCGAGGCUUGGCCCCUCGCGAGGGUCUUGGGUAUGUGUUGAUGAAGAGGGGCCGUGCUGGGCCCCCCUUUGAGCCACGCCGCAGGCCGCAGGCAGGCAAGUCUGGGGACCCCCGUUCCCAGAACACCGACAGGCCCCGCAGGCAGCUUAGUUCGGACCAACACUCAGAGGAGCACUGACCCGGGGGGGGGGGUUAAAAUAAAGAUGACCCUCGAGAGAGCGACUCCUAAGGGAAAAGUAGGUGGUGGUGAGGCAAAUGGUAAAACCAAGGUUGGGCAUUGCUGGAGGAGUUUUAUUCAAGGCGAACUGUCAAGGGGUUCCCAUUAUAGCCCAACCGCAUAAGGAACACAAAAAUCCAGGAACAUAACACCGAUAUGACGGAAACUAGGGCGGCAAGAGUGGAACAAAACACCAGCAUAAGGCCGAGCCUUCCACCCUUUACCAAGUAUAUAGAUGCAUUAAUUAAAUAAGUUAUAUUGUGAUAACCCAACAAGUAAACAUGUUCCAACAAGGAACAACAUCUCUAUGUUCCAACAAGGAACAAACUUCAAUCUUCACCUACAACUAACAACGCUAUAAGAGGGGCUGAGCAAGCGGUAACAUAGCCAAUCAACGUUUUGCUAGGACAAGGUGGGUUAGGGGCUUGGUUCAACAAUAUGGGAGGCAUGAUAAGCAAGUGGUAGGUAUCGCAGCAUAGGCAUAGCAAAAGAGCGAGCAACUAGCAAGCAAAGAUAGAAGUGAUUUCGAGGGUAUGAUCAUCUUGCCUGAAAUCCCACAAGGAAGAAGAACGAGUCCAUGAAGAAGACAAACGGACGUAGUUGAACGAAUCCUCACAAACGCGACGUUACCGGAUUACCAAGAAGAAAUACACCGGAAAGAAAGCAAACAACAUAGUAAACAACCACCACAUAGACAUGGCAUGAUGCACAACCAAGUAUGAUGCAUGUCCAGUUUAAUGAAGCAUGGCAUGGCAAAGUGCACAAACAAUCCUACAAAUUAAGUGGAACACAAUAUGCAACAAGUUGCAUAUUGACGAAACACCACGACAAGUUAUUUAGUCCAAUCUCGUUUAUGUACCCAACAAUAUUAAAUGUUGUUAAACAUGGCAAGAGGUGAAGCAUAAGUAAACUAACUAUUUAGGCAAGUUUAAAUGAGGCCGGAACAACAAACAACAAUUUCGGAAAAUCCCCAUAUGCAUAUUUUGAAAUUGGUACUGUUCUGCCCUAAACCAUAUUUUAGAGUUGUAAAACAUACAAAGUAAGGUCACCAUGUUAAACUAGGCAUUUUUCCACCCCAUUUACAUAUAAAGAUUAUUUGAAACCGAGCUACGGUUAUUUAGUUAUGAAUUAAACUGUUUUAGCAAGUUAUUUAAGCAGAUUUAUACAAACAACAUUUUAAACAUUUUAAACCUAGAUGAAAGUUGCAUAUUAUUAAACUAGAUGAAAUUCUAAGCAAGUUUCAUAUAUAAUUUAUUUUAAUCCGAUGCACGGUUUGUGAGAUAUUAAAUGCAUGAUCAACAAGGGCUUUUCUGUAAAACUGCAAUUCCCUGGAAAUUAGCUAAAUUCGCAGAACCAAAACAAACAUCCACUGGGCCGAAACUGAACUGGCCCAGCAGUAAUAAAAAAAGGAGGGGGCGCUUGGGGGUGGCCUCAC
This 3425-nucleotide long non-coding RNA is filed under the name Triticum aestivum (bread wheat). RNAcentral's name for it is "long non-coding RNA (TAES_LNC026062)". Lineage: Eukaryota; Viridiplantae; Streptophyta; Magnoliopsida; Poales; Poaceae. The record is from RNAcentral.